RNA transcript from Dioscorea cayenensis subsp. rotundata (Guinea yam), 884 nucleotides. RefSeq lists it as uncharacterized. The transcript is spliced from 4 exons. The record is from RefSeq and is a predicted model, not a curated record. Lineage: Eukaryota; Viridiplantae; Streptophyta; Magnoliopsida; Dioscoreales; Dioscoreaceae.
UGGCCUCCAUGUGGCCGCAUUCUUGUCCACACACAUGGGCAACUAUAUAAGUGAUUUUAGGGUUUUUAAGAGAGGGCUUGGCCGCCACACUUCUUUAAGUGCUAGUGCAUAAUACCAUUGGAAAAGGCCGAUUCAAGCUAGAAUCGAGGGGAAAAGAAAGUGGAUCUAGGGGAAUGUCAAUAACUAGAUGGCGCGGAUCCGGAGAGGUCUCAUCACCACCAUUAGUCGAUGGAAUAGAGGAUGAGCCAUAUUUGAAUAAGCCUAUUGAGGAUUACGACCUCAUUGAGACUAUAUGUGAUAAUGAUCAAGCUAGUGGCCACUAUGCCAUCCCAUCUGGAAGUCAUAUUGGCACACAUAUGGAGUGCAACUUAGAACAAGAAGUAUUCCCUCCUACACAACAUUUUGUUGAUAUGUCCUUUGGGAAGACUGAUGCUUAUGGUAAUACCUCCCCAUUUGCUCAACCCAAUACUUCUGAGCCCGUGUCAGCAACAAGUCCAAUACAAAGCAAGAAACAAAAAGGUUUGUGAUAAUGGAGUAUUGUGGAUAUAAUAUCACUUGAAUCAUAAUUGUGGUGAUGUGUAUGGACAAGCAUAGCCAAAAAGCACGCUCGUGCUUUAAACCACGCUGUUUUCAGGACUUAGAGAAUUCCAGCAGAGCUGCCUAAGCACAAUCGUACUUGGAAUCAUGGUCAGCAGGCACGGGUAUGCUUAAGCCUGUGCACUUCACUGGGAUCUGCACAAAAUAGAGAGCACGGUUUUACUGCCCAUAACACCAACUUACCGAGGAGCACAGUCGGCAAGCACAGGCGUGCUUGCGCCCGUGCACUUUAUUGGGAUUUUUGAUAAGUGCUUGUGUAUAAGUAUUACUAAGUAUACCUUUCUUAC